CAGCUUAUACCAACCGGCAGCACGGUUUGUAGCAGACCGCUGACAAGCUUCAAAAUCGGUUUGAAACACAGUUGUGACUCAACAUUCCGGCCACUAACUCGCUUUGCCAAUCGACCAAUACGUGCUUAACGUCCGUGCUAGAAUUUCCACCAUUUUUUCGCGAUAAAACGUAGCUUUCGGCCAUCAAACUGAACAAAAAAAUCCAAAUUUACGCCGAGAUCAACCCGCCCGAGUGUAGCAUCACGCGAGCGAGAGAAAGCAGAGGAGAGCCUUCGGAAACGAUCGCAGAUCAACGUACGCCCUUGGGUGGUACUACAGUGGGCCGUCGUCGUUCGGCAUAAGGUGCUAUAGCCCUUGAGCAAAAAUCUCCACCAAGCGCCAACGAGCUGCGCACACAAAAUGCCUCCCCACCGACGAAACAGACGAGCGACGCGGCAAGAUCGCAGAGUAGUGUACUUGCUGGGGUCAGCGCGUGUACGGUCAUUUAGGAACUGGCCCUACAGCGGCAUAAUACAUCCGUUGCGUUUGGCCUAUGCCGGAUUCUGCUGGAGGGGGGUAGACGAUAAGGUGCACUGCUUCGACUGCGGCUUAACCCUUGGCGGCUGGCUCCGGACCGAUGAUCCUUGGGAGAAGCACGCUCGGUCGUCGCCCAACUGCCCUUUCAUAGAAAAUGAACCGAUCCUCGCUACCGAGCCCAGUCCAUCCCAGCCGGAGCCAUCAGGCGCAGGCGCACCCCAGCCCGCUGGCAAUCGGUCCGAACAGACUUCAGCCAUGCUGUGCAAAAUAUGCAUGGACCGGGAGGCGAACGCGCUCCUGAUACCGUGUCGCCAUCUAUUGUGCUGCAAGGAAUGUGGGCUACGAUUGGCCAGCUGUCCCGUGUGCCGACAGAGUGCUGUAAUAUUGGUUUUGGUAAAUGUGUGCUGAAUUAUGCUUUUUUACGGUACAUCUUUCAUUUGCAAAUCAGAGCGCAGUGUUCUACGGACCAAGGCUAAGGCACUUGUUGCGUACGAUCUGAAGUAGGUGUUUCAUGUUUCUACGAUUUUAUUUUUGAUUCCUACGUAUUUAGCGCUAAAGCUACGGGCAGAUGGGAGGCACAUGGCACAAGCACGAGUUAAUCAUCGUGCCAAAUUGGCAUGCAAUUUCACGCACGACGUAGCGUAAAAAACAACAUCAUUCAGAUUGCAAUUCGAUUUGAGCGACAGACAAAUCUACUGCCAGUGCCAUUCUUGCGACUUUUUUUUUAUAUUAUCAUUAUUACUACUAUAUUUAUGAUAUUAUGUAUUAGUAUUAAAGUAUUAAGUUACAACACAAUCGAGCAUACGCGGGAAACAUACCCUGAAACCACAGAUCGAUUCGGUAUUCAUGUGAUGAAGCGAAGAACCAAAACGAUUUCAAAGAAUUACACAAAACAACGUAAAGAUUAAGGCACGCGUACCGUAACAGUGUAAUGUAUAACAGAAUGCCAUUGACAGAUAAUGUUAGCUUCACCGCUCUCUGACCGCCCGGAUAAACUUUGCCAUCCGCACAGAUUCACUGUGACAAGUAUUAGUACAAGUUGAGUGCCUCUACAAAUUGUUUAGAUUUAAUACGAUUGUUCUUAUUGCUACCGAGAUCGAGAAACACCAUACACGCCAUAACGUCCGUUUGCUGCUAUGUGGAUGCUCGGAGGCAGCGUGUAGUUCGUAUCGUAGCAAUAGAUAUUAGGGUUUGAAAAUGAUAUUACAAACAGCAGCAAUUAAACCCCUCUUUACCACUAAUGUGAUAGCAUGUACAAACAUCUAGUAUGGCGCGUCAAGAACACAGGGAAAGUUACAAAUUCUGGUUCGGCCCUCAGGACAGGAUGUAAGUCAGUAGACAAACCAAAACAUGGUUAUGGUUGUGAUGCUUUGCAAGCAGAUAUCUAUGUAAGGUCGAUAUGAAAAGCUCGACAGUAAUUAAGUGACCAAAUUUCAUUUGCCUACGUCCAUCAUCCUCUUAAUGUUCCUAAAGCGCCCAUGUUUCUUAAAAAAACAAAAGAACAGAACAAAAUCGUGCACAAAUACAAAACAAAAAACAAAAAAUCGGACGUUCUUCCCUAGCAAUACUUCACCGUCUGGUUAGCUUGGCGCAUUAUGUCUAGAAGAUAUUGGAAAAAGAAAUGAUUUUUUUUACUUUAUUUUAAAUCGUACUUCAACAAUUUAGCAUGCAAUGACAGAAGCGGUCAUUUUACAGUUUGCAACAUUCCCGCGAAAAAGACAUAAUGCAAACAUAAGCACAGCGAAGUCUCGCCGAGUUGAACCAGCAAGGGAAAGCUUGUGUCCGGGUUACAGAUUGCGUUAAAGUGAACGUGAAGUUAUGUUAUUUUUGCUAUAUUUCAUUAACAAAUUAAUAGGAAAUAUGGUUUAUUGUACAUCAGCACAAGAAAGGAAAUGCAAUAUUCCAACUAUUUAAACUAUAAAAUAUGCUAACAUAAUGAAUUUAAAACAUGUUAUUGUGAUUCCCCACGCACCAUUGUUUUUUUUUUUCUGUGGUAAUCUCAAGAAAAUGCAUUUAAUUCAUUAUGUUAGCAUGUUUUAUAGUUUCAAUAGUUUAAAAAAAUCCUUUCUUUUGGUGCACGAUAGGCCAUAUUUUGAUUUAAAUUAAAUUAAAUUUAGCAAAAACAUAGAAUUCCACGUUCACUUUCACUCGAUCUAAAACCCGGACAUUAGAGAGACUUCACUGGGCUCCGUGGCUAGUUAUUUUAUUAUUUACAGUAUUAUCAAAACGUCUAAGAGACAAUCGAAACCCGUCCUACAAGAGAACUGUUCAUGGUGGAAUUACAUUUUUAGUGGAGUAUCUAUGUUUAGCUUAAUUUCAAGAUCUACCGUCCUAUUAACGGAUCAUUAAACAUGUUUCUAACAUAUACUGUGAGCAUUAAAUUGUUAUUUAUGAAAGAAACAGAAUCGAAACUUGCAA
Long non-coding RNA from Anopheles gambiae (African malaria mosquito), 2934 nucleotides. RefSeq lists it as uncharacterized. The transcript is spliced from 3 exons. Lineage: Eukaryota; Metazoa; Arthropoda; Insecta; Diptera; Culicidae. The record is from RefSeq and is a predicted model, not a curated record.